Molecule: ribosomal RNA, 253 nt
Filed under: uncultured bacterium
Lineage: Bacteria
Description: partial 16S ribosomal RNA
Rfam family: Bacterial small subunit ribosomal RNA
Source: RNAcentral
UACGUAGGGGGCUAGCGUUGUCCGGAAUCAUUGGGCGUAAAGAGCGUGUAGGCGGCCCGGUAAGUCCGCUGUAAAAGUCAAAGGCUCAACCUUUGAAUGUCAGUGGAUACUGUCGGGCUAGAGUCCGGAAGAGGCGAGUGGAACUCCUGGUGUAGCGGUGAAAUGCGCAGAUAUCAGGAGGAACACCAGCGGCGAAGGCGGCGCUCUGGGCCGGAACUGACGCUGAGGAGCGAAAGCGUGGGUAGCAAACAGG